Molecule: ribosomal RNA, 468 nt
Filed under: uncultured bacterium
Lineage: Bacteria
Description: partial 16S ribosomal RNA
Rfam family: Bacterial small subunit ribosomal RNA
Source: RNAcentral
GACGAACGCUGGCGGCGUGCUUAACACAUGCAAGUCGAACGGAAAGGCCCUGCUUUUGUGGGGUGCUUGAGUGGCGAACGGGUGAGUAACACGUGAGUAACCUGCCCUUGACUUUGGGAUAACUUCAGGAAACUGGGGCUAAUACCGGAUAGGAGCUCCUGCUGCAUGGUGGGGGUUGGAAAGUUUCGGCGGUUGGGGAUGGACUCGCGGCUUAUCAGCUUGUUGGUGGGGUAGUGGCUUACCAAGGCUUUGACGGGUAGCCGGCCUGAGAGGGUGACCGGCCACAUUGGGACUGAGAUACGGCCCAGACUCCUACGGGAGGCAGCAGUGGGGAAUAUUGCACAAUAGGCGGAAGCCUGAUGCAGCAACGCCGCGUGCGGGAUGACGGCCUUCGGGUUGUAAACCGCUUUCGCCUGUGACGAAGCGUGAGUGACGGUAAUGGGUAAAGAAGCACCGGCUAACUACGUG